RNAcentral lists this ribosomal RNA (468 nucleotides) under uncultured bacterium. RNAcentral describes it as "partial 16S ribosomal RNA". It matches the Rfam family "Bacterial small subunit ribosomal RNA", at positions 28 to 507 of the family's 1533-position model. The record is from RNAcentral.
GACGAACGCUGGCGGCGUGCUUAACACAUGCAAGUCGAACGAUGAAGCCUUAGCUUGCUUUGGUGGAUUAGUGGCGAACGGGUGAGUAACACGUGAGCAACGUGCCCAGGACUCUGGAAUAACCGCGGGAAACCGUGGCUAAUACCGGAUAGGUGCCGAGGCCGCAUGGUCUUCGGUUGGAAAGUUUUUGCGGUUCUGGAUCGGCUCACGGCCUAUCAGCUUGUUGGUGGGGUAAUGGCCUACCAAGGCGACGACGGGUAGCCGGCCUGAGAGGGUGACCGGCCAAAAGGGAAGGAGAAAAGGGCCCGGACGAGGAGGGGAGACAGGGGGGGGAAAAAGUGCAAAAGGGGGGGAAGGCGAGUGCAAAAACGCGGGGGGGGGAAGGGCGGCUUUGGGGUUGAAAACCUUUUUUGGGGGGAAAGAAGGGGAAGGAAGGGACCCUGGAAAAAAAACACGGGAAAACAAGGG